GGGAGUGAAAUAGAACCUGAAACCCUGCACUUACAAGCUGUGGAAGCACAUUUCUUGUGUGACCGCGUACUUUUUGUAGAACGGGCCAACGAGUUACGUUAAGUAGCAAGGUUAAGCACUUAAGGUGCGGAGCCGUAGCGAAAGCGAGUUUUAACUGAGCGUUCAGUUACUUGACGUAGACCCGAAACCGGGCGACCUACCCAUGAGCAGG
RNAcentral lists this ribosomal RNA (211 nucleotides) under Clostridioides difficile. RNAcentral's name for it is "partial 23S ribosomal RNA". It matches the Rfam family "Bacterial large subunit ribosomal RNA", at positions 534 to 744 of the family's 2925-position model. Lineage: Bacteria; Bacillati; Bacillota; Clostridia; Peptostreptococcales; Peptostreptococcaceae. The record is from RNAcentral.